GAUUCAUUGGUGUAGUGGUUAUCACGCUUGCCUGUCACGCAAGAGAACAGGGGUUCGAAUCCCCUAUGAAUCG
Molecule: transfer RNA, 73 nt
Filed under: Lactococcus phage 949
Lineage: Duplodnaviria; Heunggongvirae; Uroviricota; Caudoviricetes
Rfam family: tRNA
About the family: Transfer RNA (tRNA) molecules are approximately 80 nucleotides in length. Their secondary structure includes four short double-helical elements and three loops (D, anti-codon, and T loops).
Source: Rfam by way of RNAcentral